This 440-nucleotide ribosomal RNA is filed under the name uncultured Pseudomonadota bacterium. RNAcentral's name for it is "bacterial SSU rRNA". It matches the Rfam family "Bacterial small subunit ribosomal RNA", at positions 338 to 795 of the family's 1533-position model. The record is from RNAcentral. Lineage: Bacteria; Pseudomonadati; Pseudomonadota.
CCUACGGGUGGCUGCAGUGAGGAAUAUUGGACAAUGGGGGCAACCCUGAUCCAGCCAUGCCGCGUGUGUGAAGAAGGCCUUAGGGUUGUAAAGCACUUUCAGCUGUGAAGAUAAUGACAGUAGCAGAAGAAGAAGCUCCGGCUAAAUUCGUGCCAGCAGCCGCGGUAAUACGAAUGGAGCGAGCGUUGUUCGGAAUCACUGGGCGUAAAGGGUGCGCAGGCGGUUAUGAAAGUCAGAAGUGAAAUCCCAGGGCUUAACCCUGGAAUUGCUUUUGAAACUCCAUGACUUGAGUACUGGAGAGGUUAGCGGAAUUCCGAGUGUAGCAGUGAAAUGCGUAGAUAUUCGGAGGAACACCAAUGGCGUAGGCAGCUAACUGGACAGUAACUGACGCUCAUGCACGAAAGCGUGGGGAUCAAACAGGAUUAGAUACCCGAGUAGUC